This 468-nucleotide ribosomal RNA is filed under the name uncultured bacterium. RNAcentral describes it as "partial 16S ribosomal RNA". It matches the Rfam family "Bacterial small subunit ribosomal RNA", at positions 28 to 507 of the family's 1533-position model. The record is from RNAcentral.
GACGAACGCUGGCGGCGUGCUUAACACAUGCAAGUCGAACGGAAAGGCCCUGCUUUUGUGGGGUGCUCGAGUGGCGAACGGGUGAGUAACACGUGAGUAACCUGCCCUUGACUUUGGGAUAACUUCAGGAAACUGGGGCUAAUACCGGAUAGGAGCUCCUGCUCCUUGGUGGGGGUUGGAAGGUUUCGGCGGUGGGGGAUGGACUCGCGGCUUAUCAGCUUGUUGGUGGGGUAGUGGCUUACCAAGGCUUUGACGGGUAGCCGGCCUGGGAGGGUGACCGGCCACAUUGGGACUGAGAUACGGCCCAGACUCCUACGGGAGGCAGCAGUGGGGAAUAUUGCACAAUGGGCGGAAGCCUGAUGCAGCAACGCCGCGUGCGGGAUGACGGCCUUCGGGUUGUAAACCGCUUUCGCCUGUGACGAAGCGUGAGUGACGGUAAUGGGUAAAGAAGCACCGGCUAACUACGUG